GCCAGAAUGGCUUUUCCUCCCCUGUCCUGGUCCCUGUGGUCCCUUCCAUUUGGCCAGAUCUCUUCCUAGCAUAACAAAUUGUGUUGGUUACAUUUCCCAACUAACCUCCCAGUUAGGUCUCAUCCAAGAAAUCCAAACACUAGGUCCUCUGUCAUCCUUCCCACUCCAUUUCAUCCCACAGCUGAAUUUUCUUUGCUGUAGAUACAGCUUCUCUGAACACAAGCGAUCAGAAAGAGUGAGUGUGGUAUGGAGACGAAAUGGAGGAUAAGUGUGGGUACAAAAAUAAGAAUGUCUCCAAGUGAGAUCAUAUAGGAAAUAAGAAAAGUAAUAUUUGGAAUGAAGAGCAUUCCUUACGGGCACAUACUUAGCUAUGCGGCGAGCUGAUUACCAGGAAGAUACGCAUGCAAAUCUUCUCAGAUGCAUCCAACAGUAACUGGCACCAGUGAACUUACUAGAGGGAUGAUUCAUUAAAAGGACAGGACAGCUCACAGAACUGACAGAAAGGUGAGAGAAUUAGGAAACAGGCAAGAAUCAAGGAAGGCUGGACAGUCAAGGUCACUCCCAGGAACUAUCUUCUUACCCACUCUGAUAUCUGCUGUUGAACACAUGGUGUUGCCAGAGUGGGAUUCCUGAUAUGCCUGCUCUGCUCACAGAAAAUUUCACAGCUGACCUUGUGCUUAUAUUAUUGUCUCAAGUCCCAACCAGAUGCAUCUCUUUGUUUGACCUAAGUCAUGUGCUCACAUUCUAGCUCACUGAUUCUUUAAGUGUGAUCUUCUUUAAUCCCUACCUGA
This is a long non-coding RNA of Mustela erminea (ermine), 791 nucleotides long. RefSeq lists it as uncharacterized. The transcript is spliced from 3 exons. The record is from RefSeq and is a predicted model, not a curated record. NCBI's taxonomy places the organism in Eukaryota, Metazoa, Chordata, Mammalia, Carnivora, Mustelidae.